GGUCCUUUAACUCAGUGGUAGAGUGCGGGAUUGCAGUUAAACGAAUAUCCUGAAGUCACUGGUUCGAUCCCGGUAGGGACCU
This 82-nucleotide transfer RNA is filed under the name Didymella pomorum. RNAcentral describes it as "Peyronellaea pomorum tRNA". It matches the Rfam family "tRNA". From Rfam's summary of the family: Transfer RNA (tRNA) molecules are approximately 80 nucleotides in length. Their secondary structure includes four short double-helical elements and three loops (D, anti-codon, and T loops). The record is from Rfam by way of RNAcentral. Lineage: Eukaryota; Fungi; Ascomycota; Dothideomycetes; Pleosporales; Didymellaceae.